This is a non-coding RNA of Cyanistes caeruleus (blue tit), 8536 nucleotides long. NCBI's taxonomy places the organism in Eukaryota, Metazoa, Chordata, Aves, Passeriformes, Paridae. The record is from RefSeq and is a predicted model, not a curated record.
AUUUGUAACAUUUUAUGUGGCUUUUUAAAUUAAAAUUCCACCCCCCACUUCUUUAGGGUUUUUUUUGCGGAUUUGUCACGGGUGAGCGCGGGGGGCAUCGCGCAGCUCCCGCCGCCGCGCUCCCCUCACGGUGCUGCUGGGGACGCCUCCCCGGCCCCGGUGCCCGUCGGGGCUGCCGGAGCUCACCGCGCCGAGCCCGGCUGGGCAGCGGAGGGAAACGGACACCAGUGACCGCAUCGCCAUGGCUUUGUUGCGGUUCAGUUUUGAGGCGCAACUCCUUCAGGUUUCCUCCAUGUGGGCUUUUUCUUCAGACCAGUAGAAGAAAAUGAUGGCCAGACCCUUUGCGAUGCAGCGAUUACACGGCAAGGCUACAGCAGACUAAAAGCAAAGCCGUGGGGAAUCCAAUUUCCCUCUUGUGAGCAAAAGGGCAUCAGUGCCUUUCUUAGAAGGUUUGAUUGAUAGCCCUUAAGAAGGACUCAUAAAAUGUGCCUCUCUCUGGCUAUUUAGGCAAUUCUCUUUUGAAGAUGAAGGAGAAUAUUAGAUUAAUCCAACUGCUGUAACGGCAUUAUCUUCUGCUUUUAAAGAAAACAUAUUUUAUGGCGUCCACACUCUAACGGAAACAACCUGCGGCUGCAUGAGCCCUGGGCUGGUGCUUUGCUGCUAAACAUAGAGGCAUGGGAGCCUUGGGUUUUCAUCCAGAUUCUGGGGAGCUGCUGUACAUACCAAACUUGCACCUCCAUCCCACAUGGACAGCUUGUGGACAACAGAGAAACCAAGGCUAGGGUGGACCACAGGGUCUGAAUUCCAUUCCUGUCCAUAGGGGAGCUAUGGGAGUACCCUGCAAAAUGUGUCCCACAGGAGGGUGCCUCCCAUCCUCUCUACAGGCAAUAAAAUCAUCAUCUACUACCCAGAAACAUCCCCGAGGAGGAAUAGUCAGGAUGGGAAGGGAGUGCAGAGCAGGUAAGUCUCAGGUGGGACACAGCAGCUCAUCUCCAUCUCUGCCUGCUCUGUUCCCAUCUGGGUCUGCUCGUGGCCUGGGGAACGCAGCAGCUCGUGUCUGGAAAGGUCCCUUGAGCAAGGAAGAACCAAUUAAUGGAUUAUUCCCUCCUCGAAAGAAAUGUUAUCUCUUCUCAGUAGUACUGAAGGGAGAAAAAAAAAAUCAGGAUUGUGACGACAACAGACAUCAACCUGUGGCUUAUGCUCACCAAUGCCUUAAACUCACCUUCUGAGAAUUCAUUUAUUGCUGCCAAAGGAUGAAAAAAUAUCAGGACUCCCCAGAACCAGAGCAGUUGCCAUGAAUUUGUGAAGGUCAGCCCCUUGCCUGGUCCAGAAACAGCAAUGAACUCUUCCCAGCUUCCAGGUCUCAGGGCAAAACCAGAGUGUCUGGUUUUUGGGUUGCAUCUUCUGUAGUUUCAUUCUUGUCCCCUGGUUCACCAGCUGAACAAAACUGACCCUGCAGUGAAGAAGCUGCUUUACAUUUAAAAUACUCCUUUCUCCUUGUGAUGUACUCCUGGACACUGCAAAAACUGCCUUGCUUGUCCCAGGAUUUAAUCAGAUUAAUUAAACUGCACUUGUAUUAAUUUAAAUUACAAGUAUCUGAGGACUCAGCCAAAUCAAGUGAUUUAUGGGCCAUAUCAAUCUAAUUAAUACCACCAACUCCUAAAAUAAAAACCUAAUAAAUGAGUUUAUUAUACUUCUGUAAGAUCAACUUAUUAGCUUUGGGUCUCUAGUGACACAGCUGAUUUGAUGGAAGUUUUAUAUCCUCGUUGAAAAAGGUCUUAUUUUUUUUUUCCCUUCCCACUUGCUGUAUUUUUAAAAAGUAUAUUCUACAGGGCAGGAGGAAAGAGAAACAACACAAAUACAGUUAUCAAAACACUAGCCAAGUCAAGAGGUCCCCAAAGUCCCGCUGUACACAAAUUGUGGGGGUUUUAAACCUGUGAGUGCCCACAGGAGAACAGUUUAUCUGACUUCUUGCAGGCAGAACCUGCCCUGGUCUGUACCUUCCAGCUAAGCAGCCUGGAACUGCAGGUAGCCAGGGAAUGAGGAUGCAAAAGGAAUAAGAAGAGAACUAAAAGCUUCUCUGAAGCAAAUCUGAGCAGGAAGGAGCUGGGAUGGUUUAGAAGGCGCUGCUCAUCAAGGUGACUUUGCUGGGCUGACGUUGCACUGUCUGAAGCAGUGACUAAAAUGCCACUUGCACGGAGACAACUUAGGGAUGCCAAAGCUUCCCUUCGUCACCACAGUGAGGGACUUCAAAAUUCAUCAUGGGACUUAAUUCCAGGGAAUGCAGGAGGCAUCUCCAAGCCACAGCCCAGUGGAAGGAAGAGUGGAGUAAAUGAGGAGCAGGGCCUUGCUCAGCCGUGCCCUUGCCCACCACUCCCUUGGCAGCUGGGCUCUGUGUUGAUUGGCCUUUCAGCCAUGCUUUCCCUUCAGUUCUGGAGUUCACGCUCGAUUUCCCGAGCUGUAAGAUUGUUUCCCUUGCUUUGCAAAUCCCCUUGGAGCAAACAGCCACUCGAUGGAAACAGGAGCAGACUCCCUCUCGUUACCCUUUGCUUACAAAGUGCAUGUCAUUAGGAGGAGUGUUAACAAGAGCUCUCAAUAGCUUCAUAUGGCCAAUGGCCUCUGAAUAUUCAUGAAGGUGUGAACAGAAUGUGGGAAAGCAGUGGAAGAAAAGGCAAGAAAAGCGGCAAGAGGGCUGAUUGUGCCGGGAAGAAAGGAGCCAGGGCUCUGUGGGAAAAAGCGAUCCUGAAUCCCUCAAACAAGAGCGUAUUCCCUAGGCAAAACCUGUCCUUCAAGCUGUGGGAUGGUAUUGAUGGAGCUAAGGAGGUGGGAUUUUUCUGAGCAGGGCUGGCAGGGAACCAGCUUCUGGCAUUUGAGGUGACAGUGCCCAGGUUUUUUUUUAAACUAAAAUCACAGCAGCCUGUAAACUAAAAUCACUGGCACCUCUUUUUGGGGAUGUGCAACCCUCUCUCCAGGCUUAUCGGAUCACAGGAGGGAUCCAGAAGGUGUUUUUCACUGGAUGCCCAAUAUUGAAAUGGGGAUGAACUCACAGCAGAUGGAGAAAACAGGAAGCAAAGGAGCAAGUCUGGAUUUUGCUCGAGCACUGCAGUGCUCAUCAUGCUAAGGGGAACAACUCACCUACACCCAGACAAAAUCAUGGAAUCACAGAAUCAGAGACUGUUUCAUUUGGAAGGAGCUAGAGACAUAAUCUCAUUCCCCUCCCUACCAUGGGUAGGGACGCCUUCCACUGCCCCAGGUUGCUCCAAGGCCAUCCAACCUGGCCUUGGACACUUCCAUGGAUGGGGCAGCCACAGCUUCUCUGAGCAUCUCCAUGGCCACCUCUGGACUCGCUCCACAUCCUCCUGAUGCUGGGAGACCCAGUCAGACACUGCACACCUGCUGUCCAGCACCUGCCUCCCCUCCUGCACCUCCCUGCAUCCCCAGCUCUAGAGAAAUCCCUCAUCUGCCUGUGGCAGAGCCCAGCAGGGUUUCCCAGGGGGCAGGCAGGAUAAGGGAAGAUGCUUUUCCUAUACACCACCUCUGCAGGCUGUGCAGCCCCUGCUUCUGCUCUGUCAUGGGGCCAGGGAUUUCAGCUGAGCUGGUUUAACACAGAGCUCUUCCUCAGCUCAUUUUGGAGCAAAAUUAUACUGCAGAGUUGCCUCUUCUUGAAAGGCUCCAAUCUCGCGUGUCAGUGCCAGAUAAAUAGUUUUCAUUCAACAAAUCAAUGAAUAGAAACAAAGUACAGCAAAAUAAUGUCAAGUCAUUUCACUGAUAACGACAGCUGCUGGGCUGCAAGGAGACAGGGAGAGCAGGAGGGGGUGUGGGGGAAUAGAUUAAAAAAUGUAAAAAGCAAUGAAUCACAGCUGGGGGGAAAAUCAUAAAACCACAAGCCACCGCAGCUCCCACACAAAUGUACACGGUAUUUACUCAUCUAUUUCUAACAAAAUUGCAAGUAGAAUAGAAAGGAAAAGAGGGAGGGCAAUGGUGAAAGCAAAUUGUUCAAACUAUCUUUGUUGGAAAAGCAAAAGGGCUUUUAUUCCAGCAGGAAGCAAACAGCAUGGCUCCAAGAGCUGAGGGAGGGGAUGAGGUCCCAGCCCUGCACCAGCACUCCUUCCUCCCACAGGUCCUUACCUUGCUGCUUUUGGGUCAUCAUUUCCUUGCUGCUUUCUUUCACCUUGGAGCAAUCUGUUGCUGUUUGCUUUUACGAGAGGAAAUCCUGAUUUUGGGAAUUCCCUGGGAAACAUGCAGCCCUGCAGGGCCAGCCCUGUGGUGCUGCAUGCCUGUGCCGAGGAGCUUGACUGAACCAGCACUGGUUCUCCAUAGGUCUGUUUGGCAGGAGCAGUCUGGAAAAUGAUUAUCCUGAGAAAAGACUUUAUGCUGGGGAGGAAAACACAGCCCUUUAAUCCCAGCUGCCGUUUGCCGUUUUGUUAUUAAUCCCAUAAAAUGACAGGAGGGUUAAUUGUGCUCAGGCCUUAAGUUCUUCCAGAAAAGAUUUUCCUGUUAUCCUGUCCCAGACCAGCACUGUGACCCCAAACACUAAAAGUAUACCAUGACUUUAGCCUGAAAUGACUUGCCUAAAUCUUCACUCCUUUCCCUCAGGUCUCAGAAGCCUCCAAGGAUGUACACUAAGGACUGCAGACUGGGAACCUUGUAUAGGAACAGGGCAGAGCACAGGCCAGUGCUUCCCCCACUCCUGAACAGGGUGUGCUUCUCUGUGGGUGAAAAAUGAGGAAUGAAUAAAAAUAUGAAUUGUAUGUGCCUUGAGCCACCCCCCCAGACCUUCUGGGACAGCACUAGAUGGAACUGGGGUGCCUGCAAAGCUCAUUCUGCUCAGAGAGACAAACAGGAGGCUGAGCACAAGGUGACUGUAUGAGGGGACAUCUCUUGCACUGCCCAUUCCACUCACACAGGUUCCUCUGCCGGGGCACCAGGGCCACCUCCUCCCCCGUGGCACUUGUCCCACCUCUGUGAGGCUGCGUCCUGCAGUCCCUGGUGCGACAGCUCCGGCUGGUGGCUGCAGAGGGCUGCAAACAGCAUUCACAUGGAAACACUCGGGAGAGGGAACAUGGCUGUGCCACGGAAAUGCCUGAUCUUCCUGAUGGGAUCCAUCUCCCAAACCACAAGGGACAGGAAACACGGCAGAUGCUUUUGUGGAACAACCGGCGUGCAUCAAACACACAUCACUGCUGCUUUCCACAGCGCAACGAGGGCACAGAUUUAAUUACACACAAGCUCUCCUAAAUCAAGGAGACAGACAGUUGAAAAUAGGGUGGAAAAAAACCCAACAUUUAAUUCAAUUUAUUUAGCAGCAUCUUUAUUGCAACAAAGGUUUUGUAAUAAAACGCAGCAAAACUAAUGUCUCCACUUUACAUGAUUAAAAGCCAUGGAGCUCGGGAGGGGGGAGGAGGGAGCCCAAUAAACCCACUGGAGUGAGACAUGCAAUUUUGUUAACGCAAACAGCAGGCACUUCAUGUUCUCAAAUUAAACACCUGAACUUCUACUGCGCAGAACAGCCAGGGAAAAACCGCAGGAAGAGCUCUCUGCCCCUUCCAAAGGGGCACAUAGAAAGUCUCUGUAGGGUUCUGGCACUCAAGGAAACAGGCAGCCCAAGGCAGGGGCCUCACCUGGCUCAUGUUUUGCUCACUCAGAUUCUGUUAUUGCCUGGGCAGGGGUUGGGUGUCACGGCAGCAGCAGGACAGCCGGACACACGGACACACAGCAGGAGCACAACCCACUUCUCCUGGCAGGGAAUAUGGGUUGGAACUCAGAGUAUGAGAAUUCUCUGUAAUUUCCUACCCAGGUUCCAGGUUCAGGCACAGGUGCUCCAGGGUUAAAGCAUUACUACACUAUCCCACUCAGAAAGUUUUUCCAUAGCCUAUUUCCAAAUGCCACCAGUAAAUAGGGAAUGCAUUUUCCGUUCUAAUAUAAUGAACUUAGUUAUUUUCAAAGAUUUGCUUGGUGCUUUGAGCUCAUUUUCCCAUUGAGUUUGUAAAAAUUAAGCCUUUCUAAGUGGAUAUUAAUUUUUCUGUGUUCUGAAUAAAAAGAGAUCAUUGAGAACAAAGGGAGGUGGGGGUGAAACCAAACAGCUUUGCACAUCCCACACUCACGAGGCAUCACUGGAAACCACACUAAAAUGGGGUGAAAGAACAUGCUUUCACCAGAAACAAACACAACCAAACCCAACCACCUCAAAAGACAGGAAACUGCCUGCACCAACACGCAACAACUUCGGUAUCUCAGCACUCAGAUCCCCAUAUUUCAUAUAUGUUCUUAAACAUAUGAAAACAUUCAUCUCAAAGACACCUGUGCAACUAAAUAUCCACCAUGCAAGGAAAGCUCAGUCCUGCUCCUGGCUCAGAGCUCCUGCUGGGCAGACACACCUGCAAGGCACAGGGGCCUCUGCAGGGACAUACCAACCUCUGCUUUGGGAGCCACAGCAAAGGCUCCUCCUCACAUCUUUUUUGCUCCAUGUGCUCCCCCAGGGUCUCAUAGUUCUGCUUAAAACUCACAUUAACUAAGAGAUUUUUUUAACAUGCAGGAAGUGAAGAAAUACAAUCCCAAGUAUCAAACAGGCUGGAAACCCUCUCGAGCGAUAUUCCCAUCUCCAGGACUGUAAGGUACAGCCUUGUCCUCAUCCUUGGCCAGACCAACACUUCACCAUACAAGGUACAGAAAUACCACUCCCCCCCAGAAAUAAGGAUGCAAAGUCCCUCAGCACUAACACCUUCCUACCUCUGCAGUCUCGAUCACAACGGGGCCUUUCUUCACUGGGAAUUUAGCUGGAAUCAGACUUCAUCUAAGGCAUCUCUUUUGCAAGAACUACAAAACUCUGGUGAUAAAUCCUUCCACCACUUCCACAGGAUAAGAAAGCACGGGGUCUUAAAGUGCUUAACUACAGUAAAAAGAAAAGAAAAUGAUAGGAAAAGAAAGAAUCCAUAAUUUAUGUUGUAAAACAGAGCAGUUACAAUAUAUUGUACUUUAAUAGCUUUUUGAUGUAUAUAUUUAAAACAGUGGAAGGAUGCAUUAUUAAAUAUUCUAUGUCAGCACUUACAAUUACAUCCUGCCUCAAAUCCAAACCCAGCCUGGUUUACUUACGUAAUGUUUAGUUCUUCAGUCCCCCAAAAAAGCACUGUUUGAUGAAGGCCAUUUUUGUUCUGUUUUUUAAACAAAAGGAUCAAUUUCAUCUUAAAAAUCAUAUACAUUUACAUUCAAGGGUAAUCACCUCUAGAAAAAGAACAAAAACACCCCAAAAACGCAUUUAAUUUAAUAUUGAACAAAAUAUAAACAACCUUGGAAAAGGUGAAUACUAUCCAUGGGUAAUUUUAUACAUAUAUGUAUAUAUGAACAGAUAUAGAUAUAUGUAUAUAUAAUACAGCAUAAACACGUUGGGAACACAAUGGAAUUCCAGAGGAACAGCUUAUUUUUGUCUCUUCCCACUGUUGUGUUGCACACGUGCUCCUCUCUCGGUGCUGACUUUAACAUUCUCCCCAGGGAUGCUGCCUUUGCUUCAGACUCAAUUCACCACUAAGAGAAGACAUUCCUGGAGCUGGGCUCCUCCUCUGCCCAAAAUCAACCCGUUAUUGACCUGCUAAUGGUGUUUUAACUGACCCACUUGUAAUCGCUGCCAUCUGAAAACCAGCGAACAGCCCGAACCAAGGCUCCCCACUGCGGAGGAAACUCCCUGCACGCCUGUUGGCUUUGGCUCCUUUGUUUAUCUCAAAAACCAGAUCCUGUUCUCACACACGGCUUUUACAACCGUGUAACCGCCCCAGCUCCCCUCGCUUUGGUGCACAUGCCCAGCAAUUUAACUGAAAAACGAUGCAGUUUGAUCUGAUACAGCCAGACUCUUAAAUCCCAGAGUUCUGGGAUCAAGCUGAACAGUACAAAAUCAAGGAAAGUACAAGGUUACAACAUGUGGAGUUCUAAGAGCGUGAACACUGAGAGUGAUUCCAGAAUUUCAGCAGAUGAAAAGAAAAGCAUGCUCUGCUUGUCUCUAGCACCAAAACAGAAAGAAAACUAAGUUCUUCGGUUUCUAAGAAAACCAUUAAAACUUAUCAGAGUCUCAGAGGCAAGUCCCAAAGGGAGAAUUUUCUGGAUUAGAGAGUAACUUUCUAUGGAAUUCUAUCCUGAAUUACCUGUUGCCAGUUAAAAGUGCUUUCACACACUUAUGUUUUCAGCCAAGCCUGCUGCUUAGUUAAAACCUCAGUACCAAAACACAACUGGGACUGCAAUUCCUUGAGGGUUACCCGAAGCUGUACAGAAAAGGGUUCCCAAAGACAGCAUCACAUCAUCAUGCACAGUAGUGCUAGAAAGGACCCAGGAACAGGGGACUGGACAGGGCAUGAGCCUGGGAAACAGCCCCUCAUACAAGAGGAAAUUCAACAGAACAGUUCAUAUUGCCUCACAUGUAAGGUCUCCCCACACAUCCUCUGCAGACCUUGGAAUUAGAAUAUUGAAUGUCUAAAUUGUAACAAGAUGCAUAUGCCUAUACCAUGCUGAUGUGAGGGUGAGGAAGGAGUAUUGCAAACCCAGCUCCAGA